Molecule: ribosomal RNA, 239 nt
Filed under: uncultured bacterium
Lineage: Bacteria
Description: partial 16S ribosomal RNA
Rfam family: Bacterial small subunit ribosomal RNA
Source: RNAcentral
GAUCCUGGCUCAGGAUGAACGCUGGCGGCGUGCUUAACACAUGCAAGUCGAACGGGGAACCCCUGAAAGAGGAUUCGUCCAAUUGAAGGGAAUUCCUAGUGGCGGACGGGUGAGUAACGCGUGAGGAACCUGCCUUGGAGAGGGGAAUAACAGUCCGAAAGGACUGCUAAUACCGCAUGAUGCAGUUGGGUCGCAUGGCUCUGACUGCCAAAGAUUUAUCGCUCUGAGAUGGCCUCGCG